This 19-nucleotide non-coding RNA is filed under the name Arabidopsis thaliana (thale cress). RNAcentral also lists the same sequence under 1 other name. The record is from RNAcentral. Lineage: Eukaryota; Viridiplantae; Streptophyta; Magnoliopsida; Brassicales; Brassicaceae.
UUUGGAUUGAAGGGAGCUC